This 232-nucleotide long non-coding RNA is filed under the name Hordeum vulgare. Its description in RNAcentral is "long non-coding RNA (HVUL_LNC004459)". Lineage: Eukaryota; Viridiplantae; Streptophyta; Magnoliopsida; Poales; Poaceae. The record is from RNAcentral.
GUAUGAUUUUUUUUUGUUUCCCAUGCGACGUUCCCCAACAGGAUUGGGAUCGUAUGUUGCCCCAAUCACAAAUGCGCCCAUCUCCUCCAUUUUAUAUUCCACAUGGGUCGGAUCUUCAUUCUCAUUGAUCAUACUUUCCAAGUAUAUCUCCUACACGUUCAUGGUUUGCAAGCAAUCAUCUUGUGCGAACUAGUGAACUAUACGAAACAUUAAUCAUUUGAUUGGACACGAG